This 914-nucleotide ribosomal RNA is filed under the name uncultured bacterium. RNAcentral describes it as "bacterial SSU rRNA". It matches the Rfam family "Bacterial small subunit ribosomal RNA", at positions 33 to 938 of the family's 1533-position model. The record is from RNAcentral.
ACGCUAGCUACAGGCUUAACACAUGCAAGUCGAGGGGAAACGGCAUUAAGUGCUUGCACUUUUUGGACGUCGACCGGCGCACGGGUGAGUAACGCGUAUCCAACCUUCCCAUGACUAAGGGAUAACCUGCCGAAAGGCAGACUAAUACCUUAUGGUCUUCACUGACGGCAUCAGAUGUGAAGUAAAGAUUUAUCGGUUAUGGAUGGGGAUGCGUCUGAUUAGCUUGUUGGCGGGGUAACGGCCCACCAAGGCAACGAUCAGUAGGGGUUCUGAGAGGAAGGUCCCCCACAUUGGAACUGAGACACGGUCCAAACUCCUACGGGAGGCAGCAGUGAGGAAUAUUGGUCAAUGGGCGAGAGCCUGAACCAGCCAAGUAGCGUGCAGGAUGACGGCCCUAUGGGUUGUAAACUGCUUUUGUAUGGGGAUAAAGUCAAUCACGUGUGAUUGUUUGCAGGUACCAUACGAAUAAGGACCGGCUAAUUCCGUGCCAGCAGCCGCGGUAAUACGGAAGGUCCGGGCGUUAUCCGGAUUUAUUGGGUUUAAAGGGAGCGUAGGCUGGAGAUUAAGUGUGUUGUGAAAUGUAGACGCUCAACGUCUGACUUGCAGCGCAUACUGGUUUCCUUGAGUACGCACAACGUUGGCGGAAUUCGUCGUGUAGCGGUGAAAUGCUUAGAUAUGACGAAGAACUCCGAUUGCGAAGGCAGCUGACGGGAGCGCAACUGACGCUGAAGCUCGAAGGUGCGGGUAUCGAACAGGAUUAGAUACCCUGGUAGUCCGCAUAGUAAACGAUGGAUGCCCGCUGUUGGUACCUGGUAUCAGCGGCUAAGCGAAAGCAUUAAGCAUCCCACCUGGGGAGUACGCCGGCAACGGUGAAACUCAAAGGAAUUGACGGGGGCCCGCACAAGCGGAGGAAC